This is a long non-coding RNA of Capsicum annuum, 958 nucleotides long. RefSeq lists it as uncharacterized. The transcript is spliced from 5 exons. The record is from RefSeq and is a predicted model, not a curated record. NCBI's taxonomy places the organism in Eukaryota, Viridiplantae, Streptophyta, Magnoliopsida, Solanales, Solanaceae.
AACAUAAACACGCGCACAAUAAAACAUUUUUGGAAAAAAAUAUCUAGGGUUGAAAGAGAACACAGAUUACGAAAAAUUAUCUAGAUUCCUCAACUCAAAGUCUCAAUUGUUGCAUCUAAGAGAAAGGAAGAAGAUUGAAGACUGCCUCCUGCGAGGAAGAGGCAUACCUACUGCUGUGAGGAGAAGGGGUCGGUGCUUAUCGUCCACCAGAAGGUCAUUUCUGUUGUGGGGUUCUUGAUUUAGUUCAUAUCUUACACAAUCGAAAGAGGCUUUACAGCUAUUGGUACUAGAGUCAGAAGUGAACUUUUCAGGAAGACUUUUGCAUCCUAGCCUUGUUAAACUACUAUGAUAUUGUUCGGAGGAAAAGGAACUGUUACUCGUGUAUGAAUUUAUGCCAAAGGGGAGCAUGGAAAACCAUCUUUUUAGAAAGAGUGCCACUGUUGAACCACUUUCUUGGGACUUGCAGGUCAAAAUUGCCAUAGGAACAACACAGGGCUUGACUUUUUUACGUACUUCGGAAAAGAAAGUUGUACACAAAGACUUCAAAGCAUCAAACAUACUGCUUGGUGGGAUAGGAUGUCCUCUCGCUGACACAAGUACAUCAAAUAAAUAGAAAUAUUGCUUCCUUAAAGGAGAAAUAGAGUAAUAUAUAAGGCAAUCCAAGAUACCUGAUAGGCAAUGUACCCAGGUUGAUUCCAGUAUUACCCAAUAACGCAACACGUAUUCUCUCAGAAACAAUAGUAAUAAACAUGUCAGUCUUCUUCUAGUUAGCAAAUAGUCCAGUAGUUUUAGAAAAACAUUUUAAAGCUUCCAUGACUCUACAUAUAAACCUGAGAGUAAAUAUUGUAAGUAAAUAUUGACUGGCAUGAGUCUAUCAGGGAACACUACGAGGGAUGAAGGUAAAUAUUGUAAGUUUAAAUUCACAAUGAGAUUAAUGAUCAUCACAACCUCUUCCGUA